GGGCGAAUGGUCUAGUGGUAUGAUUUUCCCUUAGCAUCUUUCCGUCUCAGAAAUACCUGAGAAGGACCCGCUUGGGAGAGGUCCGGGGUUCAAUUCCCCGUUUGUCCA
Trichoderma asperelloides is the source of this 108-nucleotide non-coding RNA. NCBI's taxonomy places the organism in Eukaryota, Fungi, Ascomycota, Sordariomycetes, Hypocreales, Hypocreaceae. The record is from the annotation of a GenBank genome assembly.